This 491-nucleotide ribosomal RNA is filed under the name uncultured bacterium. RNAcentral's name for it is "partial 16S ribosomal RNA". It matches the Rfam family "Bacterial small subunit ribosomal RNA", at positions 29 to 507 of the family's 1533-position model. The record is from RNAcentral.
GUGAACGCUGGCGGUAGGCCUAACACAUGCAAGUCGAACGGCAGCGCAGUAAGAGCUUGCUCUUCCGGGUGGCGAGUGGCGGACGGGUGAGGAAUACAUCGGAAUCUACUUUUUCGUGGGGGAUAACGUAGGGAAACUUACGCUAAUACCGCAUACGACCUACGGGUGAAAGCAGGGGAUCUUCGGACCUUGCGCGAUUGAAUGAGCCGAUGUCGGAUUAGCUAGUUGGCGGGGUAAAGGCCCACCAAGGCGACGAUCCGUAGCUGGUCUGAGAGGAUGAUCAGCCACACUGGAACUGAGACACGGUCCAGACUCCUACGGGAGGCAGCAGUGGGGAAUAUUGGACAAUGGGCGCAAGCCUGAUCCAGCCAUACCGCGUGGGUGAAGAAGGCCUUCGGGUUGUAAAGCCCUUUUGUUGGGAAAGAAAAGCAGCAGGUUAAUACCCCGCUGUUCUGACGGUACCCAAAGAAUAAGCACCGGCUAACUUCGUG